GAUGAACGCUGGCGGCGUGCCUAAUACAUGCAAGUCGAGCGAACAGACGAGGAGCUUGCUCCUCUGACGUUAGCGGCGGACGGGUGAGUAACACGUGGAUAACCUACCUAUAAGACUGGGAUAACUUCGGGAAACCGUAGCUAAUACCGGAUAAUAUAUUGAACCGCAUGGUUCAAUAGUGAAAGACGGUUUUGCUGUCACUUAUAGAUGGAUCCGCGCCGCAUUAGCUAGUUGGUAAGGUAACGGCUUACCAAGGCAACGAUGCGUAGCCGACCUGAGAGGGUGAUCGGCCACACUGGAACUGAGACACGGUCCAGACUCCUACGGGAGGCAGCAGUAGGGAAUCUUCCGCAAUGGGCGAAAGCCUGACGGGGCAACGCCGCGUGAGUGAUGAAGGUCUUCGGAUCGUAAAACUCUGUUAUUAGGGAAGAACAAAUGUGUAAGUAACUAUGCACGUCUUGACGGUACCUAAUCAGAAAGCCACGGCUAACUACGUG
RNAcentral lists this ribosomal RNA (497 nucleotides) under uncultured bacterium. RNAcentral describes it as "partial 16S ribosomal RNA". It matches the Rfam family "Bacterial small subunit ribosomal RNA", at positions 28 to 507 of the family's 1533-position model. The record is from RNAcentral.